AGCUAAUUAGCUCUGAGACAGAGUUCCUGGAAAUACAAGACAAUGAGAGCUAUCUAAAUUCACAUCCUCUCUAUGGGCAAUCAUGCAACAUGAACCAAACUCAGAAAAGUUUUCUUUGACACAGAGCUGAGAAUAUAUAAAGCCAAUCCUACUCACCUUGGUCUUGGGACAUAUAAUAACACUGCUCUUUCCCAGUCUUUCUAAUCAGGUGAAACCAGGAUGAAAUGUCCAUCAAUGACAUCCAGCAAGGGAAAUAAUGUCAUAAGUUUGGGUAGAGAGGGAAAAAAGAACAAUGUGAUCAUGAGGAUUGCUCUACCAGCUGAGAUGCAUGACUGUGGUGCUCUGGAGGGUAAUAUCCUUAGUCCCUAAAGAUUCUAUCAAGCCAUUUAGACACUCUCUGGAUUCCCUUCUGUGUAUCACACAAGCUCCUGUUUCCUCUGACUUCAGGUUGGACUGGCCAGUAGAAGACCAGAAGGUGGAGAAACUGAAGCUUGGAAACUUGCAGACAAUCCCUAAAUCACAUUUGCUGUCUCCUUCAAAAUUGAACACCCUGUUGCAGCCCUUCCUCUGCUUAUGAUCUGCAUGCAAACCUGAAUGUGUCACUGCUCUCUAGAUUUCAG
RNAcentral lists this long non-coding RNA (620 nucleotides) under Vulpes vulpes (red fox). RNAcentral's name for it is "lncRNA (ENSVVUG00000012636.1)". Lineage: Eukaryota; Metazoa; Chordata; Mammalia; Carnivora; Canidae. The record is from RNAcentral.